This 206-nucleotide ribosomal RNA is filed under the name Lactobacillus acidophilus. RNAcentral describes it as "partial 16S ribosomal RNA". It matches the Rfam family "Bacterial small subunit ribosomal RNA", at positions 1339 to 1533 of the family's 1533-position model. Lineage: Bacteria; Bacillati; Bacillota; Bacilli; Lactobacillales; Lactobacillaceae. The record is from RNAcentral.
UAAUCGCGGAUCAGCACGCCGCGGUGAAUACGUUCCCGGGCCUUGUACACACCGCCCGUCACACCAUGGGAGUCUGCAAUGCCCAAAGCCGGUGGCCUAACCUUCGGGAAGGAGCCGUCUAAGGCAGGGCAGAUGACUGGGGUGAAGUCGUAACAAGGUAGCCGUAGGAGAACCUGCGGCUGGAUCACCUCCUUUCUAAGGAAGCG